Molecule: ribosomal RNA, 115 nt
Filed under: Alphaproteobacteria bacterium
Lineage: Bacteria; Pseudomonadati; Pseudomonadota; Alphaproteobacteria
Source: RNAcentral
UCUGGUGGUUAUGGCGAGAGUGAAACACCCCAUCCCAUCCCGAACUGGACCGUGAAACCUCUUAGCGACGAUGGUACUGCGUCUUAAGGCGUGGGAGAGUAGUUCGCUGCCAGAU